GAUGAACGCUGGCGGCGUGCCUAAUACAUGCCAGUCGAGCGAACGGACGAGAAUCUUGCUUCUCUGAUGUUAGCGGCGGACGAGUGAGUAACACGUGGAUAACCUCCCUAUAAGACUGGGAUAACUUCGGGAAACCGGAGCUAAUACCGGAAAAUAUUUUGAACCGCAUGGUUCAAAAGUGAAAGACGGUCUUGCUGUCACUUAUAGAUCGAUCCGCGCUGCAUUAGCUAGUUGGUAAGGUAACGACUUACCAAGGCAACGAUGCAUAGCCGACCUGAGAGAGGGACAGGCGACACUGGGACUGAGUGACGGUCCAGACUCCGACGGGAGGCCGCAGUAGGCAAUCUUCCGCAACGGGCGAAAGCAAGACGGAGCAACGCGGCGUGAGUUAUGAAGGUCUUCGGACCGUAAAACUCUGUUAUUAGGGAAGAACAUAUGUGUAAGUAACUGUGCACAUCUUGACGGUACCUGGUCAGAAAGCCACGGCUAACUACGUG
Molecule: ribosomal RNA, 497 nt
Filed under: uncultured bacterium
Lineage: Bacteria
Description: partial 16S ribosomal RNA
Rfam family: Bacterial small subunit ribosomal RNA
Source: RNAcentral